CCUACGGGUGGCAGCAGUGAGGAAUAUUGGUCAAUGGGCGCGAGCCUGAACCAGCCAAGUAGCGUGAAGGAUGACUGCCCUACGGGUUGUAAACUUCUUUUAUAAAGGAAUAAAGUGAGGCACGUGUGCCUUUUUGUAUGUACUUUAUGAAUAAGGAUCGGCUAACUCCGUGCCAGCAGCCGCGGUAAUACGGAGGAUCCGAGCGUUAUCCGGAUUUAUUGGGUUUAAAGGGAGCGUAGGUGGGUUUUUAAGUCCGGUGGGAAAGGUUGCGGGCUAAACCGUAAAAUGCAAAUGAUACUGGGCAUCCUUAGGAACAGUUGAGGUAGGCGAAAUUCGGGGUGAGGCGGUGAAAUGCU
This 356-nucleotide ribosomal RNA is filed under the name uncultured bacterium. Its description in RNAcentral is "partial 16S ribosomal RNA". It matches the Rfam family "Bacterial small subunit ribosomal RNA", at positions 338 to 690 of the family's 1533-position model. The record is from RNAcentral.